ACGGAAGGCAGCAGUGAGGAAUAUUGGUCAAUGGGCGGAAGCCUGAACCAGCCAAGUCGCGUGAAGGAAGACGGUAUUAUGUAUUGUAAACUUCUUUAGCAGUAGAGCAAUAAGCGCCACGCGUGGCGUGAUGAGAGUAUACUGAGAAUAAGCAUCGGCUAACUCCGUGCCAGCAGCCGCGGUAAUACGGAGGAUGCGAGCGUUAUCCGGAUUUAUUGGGUUUAAAGGGUGCGUAGGCGGGAUGUUAAGUCAGCGGUGAAAGUUUGCGGCUCAACCGUAAAAUUGCCGUUGAAACUGGCGUUCUUGAGUGUAAACGAGGUAGGCGGAAUGUGACGUGUAGCGGUGAAAUGCUUAGAUAUGUCACAGAACCCCGAUUGCGAAGGCAGCUUACCAGCAUACAACUGACGCUGAGGCACGAAAGCGUGGGUAUCAAACAGGAUUAGAUACCCUGGUA
RNAcentral lists this ribosomal RNA (454 nucleotides) under uncultured Porphyromonadaceae bacterium. Its description in RNAcentral is "bacterial SSU rRNA". It matches the Rfam family "Bacterial small subunit ribosomal RNA", at positions 341 to 792 of the family's 1533-position model. The record is from RNAcentral. Lineage: Bacteria; Pseudomonadati; Bacteroidota; Bacteroidia; Bacteroidales; Porphyromonadaceae.